RNAcentral lists this ribosomal RNA (253 nucleotides) under uncultured bacterium. Its description in RNAcentral is "partial 16S ribosomal RNA". It matches the Rfam family "Bacterial small subunit ribosomal RNA", at positions 524 to 776 of the family's 1533-position model. The record is from RNAcentral.
GACGAACCGUCCUAACGUUAUUCGGAAUCACUGGGCUUAAAGGGUGCGUAGGCGGCCCGGAAAGUUGGGUGUGAAAGCCCUCGGCUCAACCGAGGAAUUGCGCCCAAAACUACCGGGCUGGAGGAAGAUAGAGGUAAGCGGAACUUAGGGUGGAGCGGUGAAAUGCGUUGAUAUCCUAAGGAACACCAGGAGCGAAAGCGGCUUACUGGGUCUUUUCUGACGCUGAGGCACGAAAGCUAGGGGAGCGAACGGG